CAGAAUUUUGUAAAUGGCAGUAUGGAAAUUGUGAAAUGACGCAUAUUUUGGUGGAAAUUAAACUCAGGAAUUUGAUGCCCCAAUUUCCACGAUUUUUUCCACACGUCAUUUAAUAAAUUCCGCGCUUAAGUUGUCAAACAAGGAAAUUGUCAAUUUCUCCUCUUAAAUUUCCAAUUUGUGACUAAAAUCAGAAUUAUUUUUCCUCAUCCAAUCAGAGGAUAAGAGAUCUUUAACUCAUACAAAUCAAAAUACAUCCUAUAUAACAUUUUCGUAGGAAAAUCUCAAACCAAAUACACAUAUCCACAAAAGUAAGUUCUUUUUGAGCUAAAAUGUCCGCCACUAUAUCGGCUUGGUAAAAGGUUAAAAAAAUGGGAAUCUUGAGUAAAUAAUUUUAAAGAAGACAAGAAUGGUGCGACUAUAAAAAUGAAAUGGUCACACAAGAAACACACAUUACAUGCAAAAAAUGGAGACGAGUGCGAAAUAUGUCACAUGUGGCACAUAUGAAUGUCGUUGAUUAUAAGAAGAAAGAAACAAGGCGAUGAGUGUGUGUGGCGCUGGCGACAGAUCCUAACUUGUAUGUUGUGUAGGAGCAUAUUACUUUCCUCCACAAACUUGGUAAAUCUUGGAAAGUUGAAGCUUGCGGGGUUGGUGUUGGUGGGCCAUGCUCAUGUGGGUUCCAACUUCCAGCUAUAUAAAGGUCUCCGUUUGUGGCUCAAAAUGAUUAAGAGCAUUUACUCCACACUCAAAUUUUAAGUAUCGUUCUUUCUUUUUUCAGUAUCGCUUUGUUUGUUUAAAAAAUACACAAAAAAGUCAUGGAUCCUAAAUGGUGAUUGUUCUAGAAUUC
This 844-nucleotide long non-coding RNA is filed under the name Prunus persica (peach). Its description in RNAcentral is "long non-coding RNA (PPER_LNC000229)". Lineage: Eukaryota; Viridiplantae; Streptophyta; Magnoliopsida; Rosales; Rosaceae. The record is from RNAcentral.